UACGGGGGGAGCAAGCGUUGUUCGGAUUUACUGGGCGUAAAGGGCUCGUAGGUGGCCAACUAAGUCAGACGUGAAAUCCCUCGGCUUAACCGGGGAACUGCGUCUGAUACUGGAUGGCUUGAGUUUGGGAGAGGGAUGCGGAAUUCCAGGUGUAGCGGUGAAAUGCGUAGAUAUCUGGAGGAACACCGGUGGCGAAGGCGGCAUCCUGGACCAACACUGACACUGAGGAGCGAAAGCCAGGGGAGCAAAGCGGG
RNAcentral lists this ribosomal RNA (254 nucleotides) under uncultured bacterium. RNAcentral describes it as "partial 16S ribosomal RNA". It matches the Rfam family "Bacterial small subunit ribosomal RNA", at positions 524 to 777 of the family's 1533-position model. The record is from RNAcentral.